CCUUUUCUAUAGAACAGUCUAAACUUGUGUUGUAUGGUUUUCGUUCUAGGAUAAAAGGGGUUAUCUUUAAUAACCCUCACCAGCCUGGUGCCAUGAGCCGGAUCCCAACAUAUCAGCUCGCUGACAAGAGGAGCAACGCGCUGAAACCCACCGGUGGUCUUAGUCAAGGACCUGUCUAAAGUCCCGGGAGGUAAUUUCCUCGCUGGGCCAGCGUCAAAGGUUAACUCCUUUCGCCAACGAGGGAUUGACGGGAUCCGACCGGGAGAAAAACACACCACAGCAAUUUGGCUUUUUGGAUACUCACCCGCCUUGACUUCCCGUUCGACGAACCAAGCUUCCCGUGAAUCCACUACGCUCAGAUGUUGCUCUGGCAAUCCUCCUCUUACUCCCUUGGCGUUACCAAGUCGGGCUCGAGGUUCCUCCUCCCUGGAUUCUGCUGGUUCCCUCCGUUCUCUGGUUAAUCCAUCUGUCACCUCUGUCUGCCGUGGUUCGCUCCGGAUCCCUCGCCGACUUACCAUCAGCCCGCCCUCCUGUUGCUAGCCACCUGUUAACCAUCAUGAGCAUUCAACUCCAGAGUUCCCUCGGCACUACUUCCCCGGUUAGAUCAGCCCAACUAAAUGUUUCUCCAGAAUUGAUGUCAGACCUCGAUAGAUCCAGUCAACUGUGUCGUUCUCUGCAACCUGAACUUAAAUA
Molecule: long non-coding RNA, 693 nt
Organism: Fundulus heteroclitus (mummichog)
Lineage: Eukaryota; Metazoa; Chordata; Actinopteri; Cyprinodontiformes; Fundulidae
Exons: 3
Source: RefSeq, a predicted model, not a curated record